RNAcentral lists this ribosomal RNA (253 nucleotides) under uncultured bacterium. RNAcentral describes it as "partial 16S ribosomal RNA". It matches the Rfam family "Bacterial small subunit ribosomal RNA", at positions 524 to 776 of the family's 1533-position model. The record is from RNAcentral.
UACGGGGGGGGCAAGCGUUGUUCGGAAUUACUGGGCGUAAAGGGCGCGUAGGCGGCCUGCUAAGUCGGAUGUGAAAUCCCUCGGCUCAACCGAGGAACUGCAUCCGAUACUGGCGGGCUUGAAUCCGGGAGAGGGAUGUGGAAUUCCAGGUGUAGCGGUGAAAUGCGCAGAUAUCAGGAGGAACACCGGUGGCGAAGGCGGGUCUCUGGGCCGAUACUGACGCUGAGGAGCGAAAGCAUGGGGAGCGAACAGG